CCUACGGGGGGCAGCAGUGGGGAAUAUUGGACAAUGGGGGCAACCCUGAUCCAGCCAUGCCGCGUGUGUGAAGAAGGCCCUCGGGUUGUAAAGCACUUUCAGUGAGGAAGAACGCCUGGUGGUUAAUACCCAUCAGGAAAGACAUCACUCACAGAAGAAGCACCGGCUAACUCCGUGCCAGCAGCCGCGGUAAUACGGAGGGUGCGAGCGUUAAUCGGAAUUACUGGGCGUAAAGCGCGCGUAGGUGGCUUGAUAAGCCGGUUGUGAAAGCCCCGGGCUCAACCUGGGAACGGCAUCCGGAACUGUCAAGCUAGAGUGCAGGAGAGGAAGGUAGAAUUCCCGGUGUAGCGGCGAAAUGCGUAGAGAUCGGGAGGAAUACCAGUGGCGAAGGCGGCCUUCUGGACUGACACUGACACUGAGGUGCGAAAGCGUGGGUAGCAAACAGGAUUAGAUACCCCGGUAGUC
Molecule: ribosomal RNA, 465 nt
Filed under: Vreelandella stevensii
Lineage: Bacteria; Pseudomonadati; Pseudomonadota; Gammaproteobacteria; Oceanospirillales; Halomonadaceae
Description: partial 16S ribosomal RNA
Rfam family: Bacterial small subunit ribosomal RNA
Source: RNAcentral